UACGAAGGGUGCUAGCGUUGUUCGGAAUUACUGGGCGUAAAGCGCGCGUAGGCGGCUAUCCAAGUCAGAGGUGAAAUCCCUGGGCUCAACCCAGGAAUUGCCUUUGAAACUGUUUAGCUUGAGUGUCGGAGGGGAUAGCGGAAUUCCUAAUGUAGAGGUGAAAUUCGUAGAUAUUAGGAGGAACACCGGUGGCGAAGGCGGCUAUCUGGACGACAACUGACGCUAAGGCGCGAAAGUACGGGGAUCAAACAGG
Molecule: ribosomal RNA, 253 nt
Filed under: uncultured bacterium
Lineage: Bacteria
Description: partial 16S ribosomal RNA
Rfam family: Bacterial small subunit ribosomal RNA
Source: RNAcentral